Molecule: ribosomal RNA, 476 nt
Filed under: uncultured Methanosaeta sp.
Lineage: Archaea; Methanobacteriati; Methanobacteriota; Methanomicrobia; Methanotrichales; Methanotrichaceae
Description: bacterial SSU rRNA
Rfam family: Archaeal small subunit ribosomal RNA
Source: RNAcentral
GGAAUUGACGGGGAGCACCACAACGGGUGGAGCUUGCGGUUUAAUUGGAUUCAACGCCGGAAAUCUUACCGGGACCGACAGCAAUAUGAAGGCCAGGCUGAAGACUUUGCCGGAUUAGCUGAGAGGUGGUGCAUGGCCGUCGUCAGUUCGUACUGUGAAGCAUCCUGUUAAGUCAGGCAACGAGCGAGACCCACGCCCACAGUUGCCAGCGUACUCUCUGGAGUGACGGGUACACUGUGGGACCGCCGCUGCUAAAGCGGAGGAAGGAAUGGGCAACGGUAGGUCAGUAUGCCCCGAAUAUCCCGGGCUACACGCGAGCUACAAUGGUUGGUACAAUGGGUAUCUACCCCGAAAGGGGACGGGAAUCUCCUAAAACCAAUCUUAGUUCGGAUUGAGGGCUGCAACUCGCCCUCAUGAAGCUGGAAUCCGUAGUAAUCGCGUUUCAACAGAACGCGGUGAAUACGUCCCUGCUCCUU